CCGUAGCCGAAGUAUAUGAUGCUCCUCCUUCUUCCAUCGAUCUCCACUUCGCUGGCUAAGAAAACCAGAACGUCAGCCGUUUCACUAUAUAUCUUCAUCUCCUUAUUUCCCAUGUUCUCCUUUAAUACCCCUUUGAGCUUCAUAAUUCCUCUGUCAGGACAGAGACAAGAAAACAAAACAGGGUUAUGCAGAUAAACGAAGGAAACAUCUUGAGUUUACUACAACCGCAAAUGAACAUUACUGGUCACAUCGAUCUCGGCAGAGUCCUGAGAGGCCGUCGACCCGAGGUCAUGGGGAAGACGAGGUGCGAGGAGUGGAAGCUUCGAAGAUUACCACGGCGGAUUCGUUCGGUGCUAUUGUUUUGGGUGGUACCUUUGAUCGAUUGCACGAUGGGCAUGAUCAGACUUCAAGGCGGUUGAGCUAGCCAUGGAUCGAAUAGUAGUGGGAGUAUGUGACAGCCCGAUGUUGAUGAACAAACAAGAGAAUGUGGGAGACAGUUUUUUUUACUUAGCCGUUGAUCUUGGUGCCAUGUGCUUAUGUAUUCUUUUCACUGUGUUUGCUUUUCACAAUCUUCUCAAUUGCAAUUGCUUUUGUUAGAGAGAGAUAUAGUUGCCUGAGUGCUCUGCCUAUAGUUCCCUUACUACAUUUUCUAAACGACUGAAAGGUGGAGUUUUCAUCAAGUAUGAAUGAGUUAAAUAGCUGCAUUUGGGUUUGCUAUGAUAGAUUUAGCCAAGUUCAUGCUAAUCCUACUGGCAACAUGGAAAAAAAUAUGAAUACUAAUUAGCUCUUCGUAAACCUUAUGUCUGUCAAUUCAUGGUAAUGUCGAUUGAUAUACUCCUUAUUGUGGCUUUCAUAGGAGAAUGUGGGAGACAGUUUUUUUUACUUAGCCGUUGAUC
Molecule: long non-coding RNA, 896 nt
Organism: Brassica oleracea var. oleracea
Lineage: Eukaryota; Viridiplantae; Streptophyta; Magnoliopsida; Brassicales; Brassicaceae
Exons: 3
Source: RefSeq, a predicted model, not a curated record